This is a non-coding RNA of Hordeum vulgare subsp. vulgare (domesticated barley), 136 nucleotides long. Lineage: Eukaryota; Viridiplantae; Streptophyta; Magnoliopsida; Poales; Poaceae. The record is from Rfam.
CUUAUACUUCCUCUGUCUCAAAAUUCUUGUCUUAACUUUGUUUAGAAAUGGAUGUAUCUAAAUGCUAAAACUUGACUAGAUACAUUCAUAUCUAAACAAAUUUAAGACAAGAAUUUUGAGACGGAGGAAGUAUUUA